Molecule: ribosomal RNA, 216 nt
Filed under: uncultured bacterium
Lineage: Bacteria
Description: partial 16S ribosomal RNA
Rfam family: Bacterial small subunit ribosomal RNA
Source: RNAcentral
UACGGAGGGGGUUAGCGUUGUUCGGAAUGACUGGGCGUAAAGCGCGCGUAGGCGGAUCAUCAAGUCGGGGGUGAAAUCCCGGGGCUCAACCCCGGAAUGGCCUUCGAGACUGGUGGUCUUGAGUUCGAGAGAGGUGAGUGGAAUUCCGAGUGUAGAGGUGAAAUUCGUAGAUAUUCGGAGGAACACUAGUGGCGAAGGCGGCUCACUGGCUCGACA